UGAGGAAUAUUGGUCAAUGGGCGAAAGCCUGAACCAGCCAAGUCGCGUGAGGGAAGACGGUCCUAUGGAUUGUAAACCUCUUUUGCAGGGGAGCAAUGCCCGGUACGUGUACCGGGAGGGAGAGUACCCUGAGAAAAAGCAUCGGCUAACUCCGUGCCAGCAGCCGCGGUAAUACGGAGGAUGCGAGCGUUAUCCGGAUUUAUUGGGUUUAAAGGGUGCGUAGGCGGACUUGUAAGUCAGCGGUAAAAAUGCGGUGCUCAACGCCGUAGUGCCGUUGAAACUGCAGGUCUUGAGUGAGCGAGAAGUAUGCGGAAUGCGUGGUGUAGCGGUGAAAUGCAUAGAUAUCACGCAGAACUCCGAUUGCGAAGGCAGCAUACCGGCGCUCAACUGACGCUGAGGCACGAAAGCGUGGGGAUCGAACAGGAUUAGAUACC
Molecule: ribosomal RNA, 434 nt
Filed under: uncultured bacterium
Lineage: Bacteria
Description: bacterial SSU rRNA
Rfam family: Bacterial small subunit ribosomal RNA
Source: RNAcentral